This 85-nucleotide transfer RNA is filed under the name Blastocatellia bacterium. Its description in RNAcentral is "tRNA-Ser". It matches the Rfam family "tRNA". From Rfam's summary of the family: Transfer RNA (tRNA) molecules are approximately 80 nucleotides in length. Their secondary structure includes four short double-helical elements and three loops (D, anti-codon, and T loops). Further hydrogen bonds mediate the characteristic L-shaped molecular structure. tRNAs have two regions of fundamental functional importance: the anti-codon, which is responsible for specific mRNA codon recognition, and the 3' end, to which the tRNAs corresponding amino acid is attached (by aminoacyl-tRNA synthetases). tRNAs cope with the degeneracy of the genetic code in two manners: having more than one tRNA (with a specific anti-codon) for a particular amino acid; and 'wobble' base-pairing, i.e. permitting non-standard base-pairing at the 3rd anti-codon position. RNAcentral also lists the same sequence under 2 other names. Lineage: Bacteria; Pseudomonadati; Acidobacteriota; Blastocatellia. The record is from RNAcentral.
GGAGAGAUCGCCUAAUUGGUAUGGCACCGCGUUGGAAGCGCGGCGGGCCGAAAGGCCUGUGCGGGUUCGAGUCCCGCUCUCUCCG